RNAcentral lists this ribosomal RNA (538 nucleotides) under Cladosporium sp. N6. RNAcentral describes it as "eukaryotic LSU rRNA". The stretch from base 184 to 337 matches the Rfam family "5.8S ribosomal RNA". Lineage: Eukaryota; Fungi; Ascomycota; Dothideomycetes; Cladosporiales; Cladosporiaceae. The record is from RNAcentral.
CGUAGGUGACCUGCGGAGGGAUCAUUACAAGUGACCCCGGUCUAACCACCGGGAUGUUCAUAACCCUUUGUUGUCCGACUCUGUUGCCUCCGGGGCGACCCUGCCUUCGGGCGGGGGCUCCGGGUGGACACUUCAAACUCUUGCGUAACUUUGCAGUCUGAGUAAACUUAAUUAAUAAAUUAAAACUUUUAACAACGGAUCUCUUGGUUCUGGCAUCGAUGAAGAACGCAGCGAAAUGCGAUAAGUAAUGUGAAUUGCAGAAUUCAGUGAAUCAUCGAAUCUUUGAACGCACAUUGCGCCCCCUGGUAUUCCGGGGGGCAUGCCUGUUCGAGCGUCAUUUCACCACUCAAGCCUCGCUUGGUAUUGGGCAACGCGGUCCGCCGCGUGCCUCAAAUCGACCGGCUGGGUCUUCUGUCCCCUAAGCGUUGUGGAAACUAUUCGCUAAAGGGUGUUCGGGAGGCUACGCCGUAAAACAACCCCAUUUCUAAGGUUGACCUCGGAUCAGGUAGGGAUACCCGCUGAACUUAAGCAUAUCAUG